RNAcentral lists this transfer RNA (68 nucleotides) under Acanthonus armatus. RNAcentral's name for it is "tRNA-Ser". The record is from RNAcentral. Lineage: Eukaryota; Metazoa; Chordata; Actinopteri; Ophidiiformes; Ophidiidae.
GGGGGAGGCAUAGCCGCACCGAAUACUGCUAAUUUUCGCCACCUUAGUGAAAUUCUAGGGCUCGCCCG